AGUGAACGCUGGCGGUAGGCCUAACACAUGCAAGUCGAACGGCAGCACAGUAAGAGCUUGCUCUUACGGGUGGCGAGUGGCGGACGGGUGGGGAAUACAUCGGAAUCUACUUUUUCGUGGGGGAUAACGUAGGGAAACUUACGCUAAUACCGCAUACGACCUACGGGUGAAAGCAGGGGAUCUUCGGACCUUGCGCGAUUGAAUGAGCCGAUGUCGGAUUAGCUAGUUGGCGGGGUAAAGGCCCACCAAGGCGACGAUCCGUAGCUGGUCUGAGAGGAUGGUCAGCCACACUGGAACUGAGACACGGUCCAGACUCCUACGGGAGGCAGCAGUGGGGAAUAUUGGACAAUGGGCGCAAGCCUGAUCCAGCCAUACCGCGUGGGUGAAGAAGGCCUUCGGGUUGUAAAGCCCUUUUGUUGGGAAAGAAAAGCAGCAGGUUAAUACCCCGCUGUUCUGACGGUACCCAAAGAAUAAGCACCGGCUAACUUCGUG
RNAcentral lists this ribosomal RNA (492 nucleotides) under uncultured bacterium. RNAcentral's name for it is "partial 16S ribosomal RNA". It matches the Rfam family "Bacterial small subunit ribosomal RNA", at positions 29 to 507 of the family's 1533-position model. The record is from RNAcentral.